UCAGCUGAUUAAAGUAAUUUUAGAGAGAAAAGCACGUGGGGUUGGAAGCCCUGGCAUUGUCAACAGGCCAGUGACUUUCUUUAAUCCAAGGUGAGAAAGGUGAAUAGUAAGGUUAGAGCAACAGGCAUGAGAGAAGCAUCCACACAGCUCUGGUGUCACCAGCUUUCAGAUCCCCUUGAGCACAAGCAGACCAAGAGGAAGAUUGGACAAUUCCAACAGGGAGGUGACUCUCUUUCUCUUACAUAUGAGGGAAUAUGGCAACUACUGCCCAGGAGGUUAAGACUUGGCUGAGGCUGGAGAGGAAAAAGUGAGGCUCCUGGCCAGAGACAGAAAGGGAAAGGCACAAGUUUAGUCUGGCGAACACAACCCAGGUUGAGAAUAGGGAGCAGGGAGGCAGCAGCAGCAGGAGGAAGAAAGCCCACACCACAUAUCUGGACUCACGGACACCUGGG
This is a long non-coding RNA of Erinaceus europaeus (western European hedgehog), 452 nucleotides long. RefSeq lists it as uncharacterized. Lineage: Eukaryota; Metazoa; Chordata; Mammalia; Eulipotyphla; Erinaceidae. The record is from RefSeq and is a predicted model, not a curated record. The transcript has 4 exons.